AGUGAACGCUGGCGGUAGGCCUAACACAUGCAAGUCGAACGGCAGCACAGUAAGAGCUUGCUCUUACGGGUGGCGAGUGGCGGACGGGUGAGGAAUACAUCGGAAUCUACUUUUUCGUGGGGGAUAACGUAGGGAAACUUACGCUAAUACCGCAUACGACCUACGGGUGAAAGCAGGGGAUCUUCGGACCUUGCGCGAUUGAAUGAGCCGAUGUCGGAUUAGCUAGUUGGCGGGGUAAAGGCCCACCAAGGCGACGAUCCGUAGCUGGUCUGAGAGGAUGAACAGCCAAACUGGAACUGAGACACGGUCCAAAACCCUACGGGAGGCAGCAGUGGGGAAUAUUGGACAAUGGGCGCAAGCCUGAUCCAGCCAUACCGCGUGGGUGAAGAAGGCCUUCGGGUUGUAAAGCCCUUUUGUUGGGAAAGAAAAGCAGCAGGUUAAUACCCCGCUGUUCUGACGGUACCCAAAGAAUAAGCACCGGCUAACUUCGUG
This 492-nucleotide ribosomal RNA is filed under the name uncultured bacterium. RNAcentral describes it as "partial 16S ribosomal RNA". It matches the Rfam family "Bacterial small subunit ribosomal RNA", at positions 29 to 507 of the family's 1533-position model. The record is from RNAcentral.